RNAcentral lists this ribosomal RNA (253 nucleotides) under uncultured bacterium. Its description in RNAcentral is "partial 16S ribosomal RNA". It matches the Rfam family "Bacterial small subunit ribosomal RNA", at positions 524 to 776 of the family's 1533-position model. The record is from RNAcentral.
GACAGAGGUGGCAAGCGUUGUUCGGAUUUACUGGGCGUAAAGAGCGCGUAGGCGGUUGCAUAUGUCAGAUGUGAAAUCCCAGGGCUUAACCCUGGAAUGGCAUUUGAAACUGUGCGACUUGAGGACAGGAGGGGGAAGUGGAAUUCCCGGUGUAGCGGUGAAAUGCGUAGAUAUUGGGAGGAACACCAGUGGCGAAGGCGGCUCACUGGACCGGAACUGACGCUGAGGCGCGAAAGCGUGGGGAGCAAACAGG